Molecule: ribosomal RNA, 326 nt
Filed under: uncultured bacterium
Lineage: Bacteria
Description: bacterial SSU rRNA
Rfam family: Bacterial small subunit ribosomal RNA
Source: RNAcentral
GAUUAACGCUGGCGGCGUGCUUAACACAUGCAAGUCGAACGAAGCAUAAGAGACAGAAUACUUCGGUAGGAAGACUUUUAUGACUGAGUGGCGGACGGGUGAGUAACGCGUGGGGAACCUACCUCAUACAGGGGGAUAACAGUUAGAAAUGGCUGCUAAUACCGCAUAAGCGCACAGUACCGCAUGGUACAGUGUGAAAAACUCCGGUGGUAUGAGAUGGACCCGCGUCUGAUUAGCUAGUUGGUGAGGUAAAGGCCCACCAAGGCGACGAUCAGUAGCCGACCUGAGAGGGUGAACGGCCACAUUGGGACUGAGACACGGCCCAA